RNAcentral lists this small nuclear RNA (107 nucleotides) under Chinchilla lanigera (long-tailed chinchilla). Lineage: Eukaryota; Metazoa; Chordata; Mammalia; Rodentia; Chinchillidae. The record is from RNAcentral.
GCGCUCACUUCGGCAGCACAUAUACUAAAAUUGGAACGAUACAGAGAAGGUUAGCAUGGCCCCUGUGCAAGGAUGACACACAAAUUCAUGAGGCGUUCUUAUUUUUA